GGUAUAAGGCAAUUAUACCGUGAAACUGCGAAUGGCUCAUUAAAUCAGUUAUCGUUUAUUUGAUAGUACCUUACUACUUGGAUAACCGUGGUAAUUCUAGAGCUAAUACAUGCUGAAAACCCCAACUUCGGGAGGGGUGUAUUUAUUAGAUAAAAAACCAACGCCCUUCGGGGCUUCUUGGUGAUUCAUGAUAACUUCACGGAUCGCAUGGCCUUGCGCCGGCGACGGUUCAUUCAAAUUUCUGCCCUAUCAACUUUCGAUGGUAAGGUAUUGGCUUACCAUGGUUUCAACGGGUAACGGGGAAUUAGGGUUCGAUUCCGGAGAGGGAGCCUGAGAAACGGCUACCACAUCCAAGGAAGGCAGCAGGCGCGCAAAUUACCCAAUCCCGACACGGGGAGGUAGUGACAAUAAAUACUGAUACAGGGCUCUUUUGGGUCUUGUAAUUGGAAUGAGUACAAUUUAAACCUCUUAACGAGGAACAAUUGGAGGGCAAGUCUGGUGCCAGCAGCCGCGGUAAUUCCAGCUCCAAUAGCGUAUAUUAAAGUUGUUGCAGUUAAAAAGCUCGUAGUUGAAACUUGGGCCUGGCUGGCAGGUCCGCCUCACCGCGUGUACUUGUCCGGCCGGGCCUUUCCUUCUGGAGAACCUCAUGCCCUUCACUGGGUGUGUUGGGGAACCAGGACUUUUACUUUGAAAAAAUUAGAGUGUUCAAAGCAGGCCUUUGCUCGAAUACGUUAGCAUGGAAUAAUAGAAUAGGACGUGCGGUCCUAUUUUGUUGGUUUCUAGGACCGCCGUAAUGAUUAAUAGGGACAGUCGGGGGCAUCAGUAUUCAAUUGUCAGAGGUGAAAUUCUUGGAUUUAUUGAAGACUAACUACUGCGAAAGCAUUUGCCAAGGAUGUUUUCAUUAAUCAGUGAACGAAAGUUAGGGGAUCGAAGACGAUCAGAUACCGUCGUAGUCUUAACCGUAAACUAUGCCGACUAGGGAUCGGGCGAUGUUCUUUUUCUGACUCGCUCGGCACCUUACGAGAAAUCAAAGUUUUUGGGU
RNAcentral lists this ribosomal RNA (1042 nucleotides) under Xenodidymella camporesii. RNAcentral's name for it is "SSU rRNA". It matches the Rfam family "Eukaryotic small subunit ribosomal RNA", at positions 62 to 1112 of the family's 1831-position model. The record is from RNAcentral. Lineage: Eukaryota; Fungi; Ascomycota; Dothideomycetes; Pleosporales; Didymellaceae.